This 459-nucleotide ribosomal RNA is filed under the name uncultured bacterium. Its description in RNAcentral is "partial 16S ribosomal RNA". It matches the Rfam family "Bacterial small subunit ribosomal RNA", at positions 338 to 795 of the family's 1533-position model. The record is from RNAcentral.
CCUACGGGUGGCAGCAGUGAGGAAUAUUGGUCAAUGGUCGGGAGACUGAACCAGCCAAGCCGCGUGAGGGAGGAAGGUACAGAGUAUCGUAAACCUCUUUUGUCAGGGAACAAAGACUGGGACGCGUCCCCGGAUGAGUGUACCUGAAUAAAAAGCAUCGGCUAACUCCGUGCCAGCAGCCGCGGUAAUACGGAGGAUGAGAGCGUUCUCCGGAUUUAUUGGGGUUAAAGGGUGCGCAGGCGGUCUGUUAAGUCAGCGGUCAAAGCCCGGGGCUCAACCCCGGCCCGCCGUUGAAACUGGCAGUCUCGAGUGGGAGAGAAGUAUGCGGAAUGCGCGGUGUAGCGGUGAAAUGCAGAGAUAUCGCGCAGAACUCCGAUUGCGAAGGCAGCAUGCCGGCUCCACACUGACGCUGAGGCACGAAAGCGUGGGUAGCGAACAGGAUUAGAUACCCCGGUAGUC